RNAcentral lists this ribosomal RNA (916 nucleotides) under uncultured bacterium. Its description in RNAcentral is "bacterial SSU rRNA". It matches the Rfam family "Bacterial small subunit ribosomal RNA", at positions 54 to 960 of the family's 1533-position model. The record is from RNAcentral.
CAUGCAAGUCGAGGGGAAACGACAUCGAAAGCUUGCUUUUGAUGGGCGUCGACCGGCGCACGGGUGAGUAACGCGUAUCCAACCUGCCCAUCACUUGGGGAUAACCUUGCGAAAGUAAGACUAAUACCCAAUGAUAUCUCUAGAAGACAUCUGAAAGAGAUUAAAGAUUUAUCGGUGAUGGAUGGGGAUGCGUCUGAUUAGCUUGUUGGCGGGGUAACGGCCCACCAAGGCUACGAUCAGUAGGGGUUCUGAGAGGAAGGUCCCCCACAUUGGAACUGAGACACGGUCCAAACUCCUACGGGAGGCAGCAGUGAGGAAUAUUGGUCAAUGGACGAGAGUCUGAACCAGCCAAGUAGCGUGCAGGAUGACGGCCCUAUGGGUUGUAAACUGCUUUUAUAAGGGAAUAAAGUGAGCCUCGUGAGGCUUUUUGCAUGUACCUUAUGAAUAAGGACCGGCUAAUUCCGUGCCAGCAGCCGCGGUAAUACGGAAGGUCCGGGCGUUAUCCGGAUUUAUUGGGUUUAAAGGGAGCGUAGGCCGGAGAUUAAGCGUGUUGUGAAAUGUAGAUGCUCAACAUCUGCACUGCAGCGCGAACUGGUUUCCUUGAGUACGCACAAAGUGGGCGGAAUUCGUGGUGUAGCGGUGAAAUGCUUAGAUAUCACGAAGAACUCCGAUUGCGAAGGCAGCUCACUGGAGCGCAACUGACGCUGAAGCUCGAAAGUGCGGGUAUCGAACAGGAUUAGAUACCCUGGUAGUCCGCACGGUAAACGAUGGAUGCCCGCUGUUGGUCUGAAUAGGUCAGCGGCCAAGCGAAAGCAUUAAGCAUCCCACCUGGGGAGUACGCCGGCAACGGUGAAACUCAAAGGAAUUGACGGGGGCCCGCACAAGCGGAGGAACAUGUGGUUUAAUUCGAUGAUAC